Molecule: ribosomal RNA, 250 nt
Filed under: uncultured bacterium
Lineage: Bacteria
Description: partial 16S ribosomal RNA
Rfam family: Bacterial small subunit ribosomal RNA
Source: RNAcentral
UACAGAAGGCCCGAGCGUUAAUCGGAAUUACUGGGCUUAAAGGGUGCGCAGGCGGAUAAGUAGGCAUCUCGUGAAAGCCCCCGGCUCAACCGGGGAACUGCGGGGUGAACCACUUGUCUUGAGGAAGGUAGGGGUCAGUGGAACCAUGGGUGGAGCGGUGAAAUGCGUAGAUAUCCAUGGGAACGCCUAUGGCGAAGGCAACUGACUGGGCCUUUCCUGACGCUCAGGCACGAAAGCGUGGGGAGCAAAC